AAAAUAUCUGUCUUAAUAAACUGUUGUGAACCAUAUCCCUAAUGUAACCCUGUUUCAAAGGUCGUCUCCGACAGAUUGUAUCUCCGUUGAAUACUCCGUACUCCGGCCAUCCGCCAAACCAAACCUUGCCAAGGAUUUUACAUAAAUAACCUCAUGGAGCUAGUAAAACUUAAAGUGCAUUAAAAAUAACCUAUUUAAACACAAUUUUCAGUGAAUCAUUUACAUAUAAACAGUGAACUUAUUUAACCAGAUAAAUAUUCAUUUCAGAAGAAUUAGACUUCAGUACAAACAACUUUUCGCCGUACCACAGUUUUCUAGAUCGAAACUUCGUUACUGAAUAAACAUUUUCAAGAAGUUCUCAUCUAUGUGUGUCUGGUAGAAGAGAGUGUUUCCCUAACCUAAUUGCCUUUGGAUUUGUCAUUCAUCGAGUUACCUAUCCUUUGCUUAAGUACAUCCCGCUUCGAGUAACUUUUCCUUUUGUUCAGCUCACAACUGU
Long non-coding RNA from Eurytemora carolleeae, 496 nucleotides. RefSeq lists it as uncharacterized. The transcript has 2 exons. The record is from RefSeq and is a predicted model, not a curated record. Lineage: Eukaryota; Metazoa; Arthropoda; Copepoda; Calanoida; Temoridae.